AAUGAACGCUGGCGGCGUGCUUAACACAUGCAAGUCGAACGAUGAAGUCUAGCUUGCUAGAUGGAUUAGUGGCGCACGGGUGAGUAAUGCAUAGGUAACGUGCCCCUUAGUCUGGGAUAGCCACUGGAAACGGUGAUUAAUACUGGAUACGCCUUCUUACUUAAUGUAAGUUGGGAAAGUUUUUCGCUAAGGGAUCGGCCUAUGUUGUAUCAGGUAGUUGGUGAGGUAAUGGCUCACCAAGCCUAUGACACAUAGCGGGUCUGAGAGGAUGAUCCGCCACACUGGUACUGAGACACGGACCAGACUCCUACGGGAGGCAGCAGUGGGGAAUAUUGCACAAUGGACGAAAGUCUGAUGCAGCAACGCCGCGUGGAGGAUGACACAUUUCGGUGCGUAAACUCCUUUUAUAUGAGAAGAUAAUGACGGUAUCAUAUGAAUAACCACCGGCUAACUCCGUGCCAGCAGCCGCGGUAAUACGGAGGGUGCAAGCGUUAUUCGGAAUCACUGGGCGUAAAGGGUGCGUAGGCGGUUUGGAAAGUCAGGUGUGAAAUCCUACAGCUUAACUGUAGAACUGCACUUGAAACUUCCAGACUAGAAUACUGAAGGGGCAGAUGGAAUUAGUGGUGUAGGGGUAAAAUCCGUAGAUAUCACUAGGAAUACCUAAAGCGAAAGCGACCUGCUGGGAAGUUAUUGACGCUGAGGCACGAAAGCGUGGGGAGCAAACGGGAUUAGAUACCCCGGUAGUCCACGCCCUAAACGAUGAAUGCUAGUCGUCGGAAAGCUCGUCUUUUCGGUGAUGCAGUUAACACAUUAAGCAUUCCGCCUGGGGAGUACGGUCGCAAGAUUAAAACUCAAAGGAAUAGACGGGGACCCGCACAAGUGGUGGAGCAUGUGGUUUAAUUCGAAGAUACGCGAGGAACCUUACCAGGGCUUAAAUGUAUAUUGACGUAUUUGGAAACAAGUAUUUCUUCGGACAAUUUACAAGGUGCUGCAUGGCUGUCGUCAGCUCGUGCCGUGAGGUGUCAGGUUAAGUCCUAUAACGAGCGCAACCCUUAUCUUUAGUUGCCAGCGAGUAAUGUCGGGGACUCUAGAGAAACUGCCUGCGUAAGCAGAGAGGAAGGUGGGGACGAUGUCAAGUCGUCACGGCCCUUACGCCCUGGGCCACACACGUGCUACAAUGGUAGGUACAGAGGGCAGCUACUUGGCGACAAGGUGCGAAUCUCAAAAACCUAUCUCAGUUCGGAUUGGAGUCUGCAACUCGACUCUAUGAAGCUGGAAUCGCUAGUAAUCGCGUAUCAGCCAUGACGCGGUGAAUACGUUCCCGGGCCUUGUACACACCGCCCGUCAAACAAUGGAAGCUGGGAGUGCCUGAAGUCGGUAACCGAAAGGAGCUGCCUAGGGUAAAACUGGUAACUGGUGUU
This 1421-nucleotide ribosomal RNA is filed under the name uncultured bacterium. RNAcentral's name for it is "bacterial SSU rRNA". It matches the Rfam family "Bacterial small subunit ribosomal RNA". The record is from RNAcentral.